Molecule: small nuclear RNA, 107 nt
Organism: Echinops telfairi (small Madagascar hedgehog)
Lineage: Eukaryota; Metazoa; Chordata; Mammalia; Afrosoricida; Tenrecidae
Source: Ensembl
AUGCUCGCUUUGGCAGCAGAUAUACUAAAAUUGGAACAAGACAGAGAAGAUGAGCGUGGCCCCUGUGUAAGGAUGACAUGCAAAUUCAUGAGGUGUUCCAUAUUUAA